UCCACAGCGUGAUGUGGGACGCUUGCAAGACACGCACUUGGAAUUUCAGCAUUGCGGCGCUAGUGACGACAAGUAUCUGACUGCACGGCAUUUCGCUGCGACGUAGACAUGAAAAAAGUCCCCAGGUCACUACUCAUCGCUAUUGCGGGGGUAUUAUUUGCGAUAGAAGUCUCUGAACAAUGGACAGUUAUUGACGACACAGCUUGGAAAAAUGGGAAGUGCUACUUCAGAGGAGGGGCAUAUGAAGUUGGAGAGGCAACGCAUGACAUAAAGCAGUGCAUGACAUGGACUUGUUUCCGACAGAACAGCACUCAUGGCGGGAUGUUUGGUGUAGGGUGCGGAAAGGUGCUCGCAUCGCCACCAUGCAAAAAGAUACCUACAAGGGAAGGUAUCAACCCGAAAUGUUGCGAGUAUAUAGAGUGCCCAAAAAGAUGAAUUCGCGGAUAAACUAUUCGUACUUGAACAAAGACAACUUGAGUGCAAGAAGCACAUUAUUA
Dermacentor andersoni is the source of this 497-nucleotide long non-coding RNA. RefSeq lists it as uncharacterized. Lineage: Eukaryota; Metazoa; Arthropoda; Arachnida; Ixodida; Ixodidae. The record is from RefSeq and is a predicted model, not a curated record.